RNAcentral lists this ribosomal RNA (253 nucleotides) under uncultured bacterium. RNAcentral describes it as "partial 16S ribosomal RNA". It matches the Rfam family "Bacterial small subunit ribosomal RNA", at positions 524 to 776 of the family's 1533-position model. The record is from RNAcentral.
UACGUAGGGUGCAAGCGUUACUCGGAAUUAUUGGGCGUAAAGCGGAUGUAGGCGGCUUUAUAAGUCUGAUGUGAAAGCCCGGGACUCAAUCCCGGAAGUGCAUUGGAUACUGUAAGGCUAGAGUAGAGGAGAGGUAGGCGGAAUUCCAGGUGUAGAGGUGAAAUUCGUAGAUAUCUGGAGGAACAACAGAGGCGAAGGCGGCUUACUGGACUCUAACUGACGCUGAGAUCCGAAAGUGUGGGGAGCAAACAGG